Molecule: ribosomal RNA, 304 nt
Filed under: uncultured bacterium
Lineage: Bacteria
Description: partial 16S ribosomal RNA
Rfam family: Bacterial small subunit ribosomal RNA
Source: RNAcentral
CAGCAGUAGCCGCGGUAAAACAGAGGGUGCGAGCGUUAAUCGGAUUUACUGGGCGUAAAGCGUGCGUAGGCGGCUUUUUAAGUCGGAUGUGAAAUCCCUGAGCUUAACUUAGGAAUUGCAUUCGAUACUGGGAAGCUAGAGUAUGGGAGAGGAUGGUAGAAUUCCAGGUGUAGCGGUGAAAUGCGUAGAGAUCUGGAGGAAUACCGAUGGCGAAGGCAGCCAUCUGGCCUAAUACUGACGCUGAGGUACGAAAGCAUGGGGAGCAAACAGGAUUAGAGACCCCCGUAGUCCCUGUCUCUUAUAC